UACGUAGGGUGCAGGCGUCAAUCGGAAUUACUGAGCGUAAAGCGUGCGCAGGCGGCUUCUCAAGUCAGAUGUGAAAUCCCCGGACUUAACCUGAAAACUGCGUUUGAAACUGGAAGGCUGGAGUGCGGCAGAGGGGGGUGGAAUUCCACGUGUAGCAGUGAAAUGCGUAGAUAUGUGGAGGAACAUCAGUGGCGAAGGCGGCCUCCUGGACCAAUACUGACGAUCAGGUGCGAAAGCGUGGGGAGCAAACAGG
This 253-nucleotide ribosomal RNA is filed under the name uncultured bacterium. Its description in RNAcentral is "partial 16S ribosomal RNA". It matches the Rfam family "Bacterial small subunit ribosomal RNA", at positions 524 to 776 of the family's 1533-position model. The record is from RNAcentral.